CUGGAAACUGCAACGAAGCGCAAACGCUCACACUUAUCGGUUGUUGGAAGGUUGUCGCCAACUGCUAGGCCUUGGGCCUGCUGAAGCGACCGGCUUGGGUCUGUAGCUCAGUUGGUUAGAGCACCGUCUUGAUAAGGCGGGGGUCGUUGGUUCGAGACCAACCAUACCCACCAUCCCUCCAAUGUCCAAUCGUGUUUGGGGGUGUAACUCACCUGGGAGAGCGGGUGAUUUACCUGCAAAUUGCAUGGGGACCUAGUGCUGUCAACUACGCCUCCUUCCCUUAUCCAACAGAGAAUAAGAGCACGUGGUGGAUUCUUGAGGCUUUCUGUUGUUCUCCUACAAAAUUUGAUCAAUCCAUGGUUCUUCGAUGUUCUUUAGAGUUCGAAUCAGCGUUGCUGGCGGAAAGUACAUAUUCGUAAAGGUUUCAUGUACACCGUGCCGCCAGCGACAUAUUUGAUUGCGUCAAAACGAAUAUCAAACUUCUUGUUUGAAAUUCAGGUCUUCAAGAAAUUGAAGAACGGCAUAACGCGCCAGGUGAAAGACCUGGCAAUUCCUUGACGACUUGG
This 566-nucleotide transfer RNA is filed under the name uncultured Burkholderiales bacterium. Its description in RNAcentral is "16S-23S ribosomal RNA intergenic spacer". The stretch from base 97 to 170 matches the Rfam family "tRNA". Lineage: Bacteria; Pseudomonadati; Pseudomonadota; Betaproteobacteria; Burkholderiales. The record is from RNAcentral.